RNAcentral lists this ribosomal RNA (552 nucleotides) under uncultured bacterium. RNAcentral's name for it is "partial 16S ribosomal RNA". It matches the Rfam family "Bacterial small subunit ribosomal RNA", at positions 355 to 923 of the family's 1533-position model. The record is from RNAcentral.
UGGGGAAUAUUGCACAAUGGGCGAAAGCCUGAUGCAGCAACGCCGCGUGAGUGAUGAAGGCCUUCGGGUUGUAAAGCUCUGUCUUUUGGGACGAUAAUGACGGUACCAAAGGAGGAAGCCACGGCUAACUACGUGCCAGCAGCCGCGGUAAUACGUAGGUGGCAAGCGUUGUCCGGAUUUACUGGGCGUAAAGGAUGCGUAGGCGGAUUUUUAAGUGAGAUGUGAAAUACCCGGGCUUAACUUGGGUGCUGCAUUUCAAACUGGGAAUCUAGAGUGCGGGAGAGGAGAAUGGAAUUCCUAGUGUAGCGGUGAAAUGCGUAGAGAUUAGGAAGAACACCAGUGGCGAAGGCGAUUCUCUGGACCGUAGCUGACGCUGAGGCAUGAAAGCGUGGGUAGCAAACAGGAUUAGAUACCCUGGUAGUCCACGCCGUAAACGAUGAGUACUAGGUGUAGGAGGUAUCGACCCCUUCUGUGCCGCAGUUAACACAAUAAGUACUCCGCCUGGGAAGUACGAUCGCAAGAUUAAAACUCAAAUGAAUUGACGGGGUCAUA